Molecule: long non-coding RNA, 279 nt
Filed under: Phoenix dactylifera (date palm)
Lineage: Eukaryota; Viridiplantae; Streptophyta; Magnoliopsida; Arecales; Arecaceae
Description: long non-coding RNA (PDAC_LNC008202)
Source: RNAcentral
GAUCAUGCGGCUUCAUUCCGUAAAGAUGCAAUCUGGGAAGAGAGCAUACGGUUGAAAUUCUUUGGGAUCCGUGCGACUUGAUUUGGCUUGGUUGGGAAGAUGGGAAUUGAAUUGUUUGAAACAGGGGAAUUAAUCCUAUUUGGAUGGGAAGAGGCCAAUGACUAGAAUUCUCUGAGAUCUGUGCAACUAUAGAUGAAUAGAUGAUAUACUUUGAGAUCUGAGAAAUAAAUGAUUGAAAAGUGUGGGAAGAGAAGUAGGUGAAUUUGGGAAGAAACGGGA